GGAGAGGUGGCCGAGUGGUUGAAGGCGCUAGUCUCGAAAACUAGUAUAGUCGUAAGGCUAUCGUGAGUUCGAAUCUCACCCUCUCCGCCA
Molecule: transfer RNA, 90 nt
Filed under: Ignavibacteriota bacterium
Lineage: Bacteria; Pseudomonadati; Ignavibacteriota
Description: Ignavibacteriae bacterium (groundwater metagenome) tRNA-Ser
Rfam family: tRNA
About the family: Transfer RNA (tRNA) molecules are approximately 80 nucleotides in length. Their secondary structure includes four short double-helical elements and three loops (D, anti-codon, and T loops).
Source: RNAcentral